This is a long non-coding RNA of Acyrthosiphon pisum (pea aphid), 284 nucleotides long. RefSeq lists it as uncharacterized. NCBI's taxonomy places the organism in Eukaryota, Metazoa, Arthropoda, Insecta, Hemiptera, Aphididae. The transcript has 2 exons. The record is from RefSeq and is a predicted model, not a curated record.
AAGAAAUUAAAAAAAAAUUUUUAUUAAUAAUAAUAUUUUAAAAAUAUUUUUAGACAAAUCACUUAAGAAAAUUCCUUGAAUUCAAAGUGUCCAUGGGUUUUCUUGAUAAUAUUAUUGGAAAAUAUAUUGCCACAGUUGUAGGAUUUUAUGCUGUUAGUAUACCUUUUAUGAAUCGUAAUUCAUCUUUAUCCAAUCUUUCACAAAAUGAACGUUUUCGAGUAAGUACAGUUUUAACAUUUUAAAAUAUAAUACUGAUAUACAACAAUAAAAGAAAUACAAGAGAA